Molecule: long non-coding RNA, 168 nt
Filed under: Lynx pardinus (Iberian lynx)
Lineage: Eukaryota; Metazoa; Chordata; Mammalia; Carnivora; Felidae
Source: RNAcentral
UUGAAAGACUGGUCAUUGAGAGCAAUGCCAGCCCCAGCAUUAAAGGUGGAAGAGUGGGGUGUCACUGUUAAAGUCACAGGAGACAACCUGGUCCUCAGUGUAGCCCAAGAUGCCCUUGAGGGGGCCCUCUGAUGCCUGCUUCACCACCUUCUUGAUUCAUCAUAUUUG